This is a long non-coding RNA of Lagenorhynchus albirostris (white-beaked dolphin), 970 nucleotides long. RefSeq lists it as uncharacterized. The transcript is spliced from 2 exons. Lineage: Eukaryota; Metazoa; Chordata; Mammalia; Artiodactyla; Delphinidae. The record is from RefSeq and is a predicted model, not a curated record.
CCCGCGGGCGUCGAUGGCGUCGCCGCGACCACUCUAAAUGCCGCCCCCAUUCUAGGCCCCGCCCCUCCGGCGCUACCUACGUCGCCGCGCAACUCUGAGUCCCGCCCCUCACCCGAGCCUCACCCGGGUCUCUGGCGCAGCCUCCCUUAUACCCUAUGUUCUCCGUCCUGGCCUUUACCCACUUUGGACCCGUUCAGUCUUGGCCUCACGGGGCGGCCAGGGUCCGGACCUGGAUGAGCGCUUCCGGGCACAGUCCACCGUGCCCGUGCGCCGACCCCCCACCCCAUGAAGGAACUGGAGGAUGGGUGCAGCUGUCGGAUGGAAACCCCAAAACUCUUGGACCGACUCGUGGUGGUCACCACGGGAACCAUCCCCGCUCCGAACACUGAAACAAAAACUCUUGUGUAUCCUGGCUCCUGUCAACUGGAAAAAGUGCACAACCUAAAAGUUGAGAAUUAUGUUUUAUUUGGUAGACUUUCUGAGGAUUUCAAGCCUGGGAGGUAGCCUCUCAGAUAGCUCUGAGGGACUGCUCCAAAUAGGUAAGGGAGGCGCCAGGAUAUAUAGGAGUUUUGCAACAAGGACCAGGUAGUUGGGACAUCAAAAGAUUACUGUAUAAGACUUCCCUGGUGGAGCUGUGGUUAAGAAUCCGCCUGCCAAUUCAGGGACACAGGUUCGAGCCCUGGUCCGGGAAGAUCCCACAUGUAGCGGAGCAACUAAGCCUGUGCACCACAACUACUGAGCCUGCUCUCUAGAGUCCGUACUACUGAGCCCGCACACCACAACUACUGAAGCCCGCACGCCACAGCUACUGAAACCCCUGCACCUAGAGCCUGUGCUCGGCAACGAGAAGCCAGUGCAAUGAGAAGCCUGUGGACCGCAAUGAAUAGACCCCACUCACAGCAACUAGAGAAAACCCGUGCGCAGCAGCCCAAAAAUAAAUAAAUAAAUAAAAUUUAUGUUAAAAAAAAAA